This 2140-nucleotide ribosomal RNA is filed under the name Triticum aestivum (bread wheat). Its description in RNAcentral is "partial small subunit ribosomal RNA". Lineage: Eukaryota; Viridiplantae; Streptophyta; Magnoliopsida; Poales; Poaceae. The record is from RNAcentral.
CAAGUCGGGUUGUGCAUGCGUGCGACCGAUCUCAUAAGGUCUUACGCGUGUGCGUGAGCUGAGAUAGAGAGCGAGUCGAGAAAAGGAGAGCAUGAAGAGAGCGAGCUAGGGGCGACAGCGGCGGACCCAGCGGCCGGCUAAGACCGGCGAGGCCACUCGAGGCCGCGGAGGGUCGUGUGGGUAACGACGAGGAACCGCUCGAGAUGGUCGAGGCGGCGUAGCUAGAUGAAAAGGAGGGAGGACACCAGCAGGGGUUGAUAAAGGAGCGAUCCCAAGGCCACCACCUCCGCCCAGAACAGCGGCUGCCGGGAAGCCCGCAGCGCCCCAAAGUAGGCCGUGGAGGUCGCCGAGUGGGGUCCGCCCAGAACAGCGGCUGCCGGGAAGCCCGCAGCGCCCCAAAGUAGGCCGUGGAGGUCGCCGAGUGGCACUACGCAACCACGGGGACCCCACCGCAGAGGCACGCCACUACGGGAGCCCCACCGCGGUGGCACGGGCCGCGAGCGGGACCAGCAGCACCAACACGAGGCCGCCGGAGGUCUGGGAGAGGACCUACACCACUACCAGUGUGGUGUUGGCAACACACCGACUCGAUGUCGAUACCGAUGUUAGAGGGAGACCACUCCAGGAGGGCCAAGGAAGAGGUAACUAAAACGAGUACGUACCGGAACCGGUACUAAACCCAACCUACACCCUAAGAUGAUCAACGACGAUCUACAACAUUAGUUCGUAGUUGAGGAUGACCUCGAGAGACCACUAUUUAAGUACGGCAAGAUCCCAGACAGUCAUCGACGGGUACACAUAAACGAAAUAAAGACACGAGUGCACUACCAGACCACCAUAUACUAACGAGACCUAAACGAUUCAACCAGUCCUCGUUUCACGAAUUAUACAACAAACGAGGAUACACCGAGACGAUAAGCACAAUUGACUUCCUAAGAAAUCAAUACUUCGAGGGACCAAGCCAUGUGAUUAGGAUAACAGAAACAGAUGAACUAAAGUGAACGACAUGAAGGGUGACGUUCAACUAAUUGACUUAUACGAUGAGAUCAAGGACCUCAACCAAUGAAUUAAGACAGAUAAAGGUAACCAGGCCGACUGGAAGCCCAUUAUCGAUUAAUAUGAACAACAAUGUCCAAUGACGAUAAUAUAUAUGAAUGUCGUCGUGACGAUUACUAUGAUCGGGUACACGACCACCUACACCACAGGAUAAAAGUCUUUUUAUGGUACACAUUCACCUCACGUCACAAGACGUCUUCGUCUAUAAGUCAACCCACGAUUGGAUAGAUAAAGAAGAUACGAUAGAAAUGAGAUGAAUUCUUAUCUAUGACGAAGAGAACCGAUAUAAGACGAAAGAACAGAUAAAAAGAUAGGGAGAGAGAAGAUAAUUUGACUAUUCUUGUCUACAACGGACUAGAAUAACGAAUACUACGACCAGACUCCGGAGAGACCCAAGAUUUCAAUAAAAACACCGAGGUUCUUGAGGAUGUUUAGGACACUACGUACUGUGUUGUAAAGACACGUGCGGACUCCUAAGGUAGUGAGGUUAGGAUGGAGACCACGACUCAUCGAACCAGAGCUCCGAAACCAAUAGGAAGAAGAACACCAAUCGGACGUGGAGGAGCGACGAAGUGUGAUUAAGAGUCACGAGACCUGCCCACUGAGUCGACACACGAACAACACACACGACGAUCACGACAGGAACGCACUCAGAGACCACGACCACCACAACUGUCGUCGACGAACGACAACAGUUCGAGAGGAACUACGGAUAGAACAUUCGACUACCCACCGAUUAACGAACCAAUGAACCAGGACCGGCCCACCCAAACUAGAUAUAGAUGAGGACCGAAAUAAGACUCCGACUUGUCACCGAAUAUAGAUGACAGUGAACUGUCCUAUAUACGAUGUAUGAUUAGGAUUGGGUGAGAGAGAUCACAAAUACCAACGUCCAAAACUUCUUUUCUUCUUCUAGUUCUAAUUUUAGUUCUAGAAUCUAUACUAUCAUAUCCUUCUUAUCUAUUAAAUCAAAUCCAAUAGAAAGGGCUUAAGAAAUGUUAGGUUCUUACAUAAGAGAAUAAUUAAUAAGUACAUACAGUAUACAUUAUAUUGAAACAUUAUAAAUAGGCUAAUAGUUAUUUCG